Molecule: long non-coding RNA, 1449 nt
Filed under: Cricetulus griseus (Chinese hamster)
Lineage: Eukaryota; Metazoa; Chordata; Mammalia; Rodentia; Cricetidae
Description: lncRNA (ENSCGRG00015010152.2)
Source: RNAcentral
CACAAAGGCUAAGUCGCCCCGGGUACCCGCGUCUCCAAUAAAGCCUCUUGUUUUUUGCAUCCAGUUCGUGGCCUCGCUGAUUCCUGGGUGUGGGGUUUCCCUCUACGAAAGUGCCUCUUCGGGGGUCUUUCAUUUGGGGGCUCGUCCGGGAUAGAGACCCCCUCCCAGGGACCACCGACCCACGUUUGGGAGACAUCUGAAUAUCAGUUGCGGACUACUAGCUGUUCCAAGUAGACGGCGAGCCCUGGACUUGCUAUGGAUGUGAACCAGUCUGCUGAUGUGGACACCCCCUAUCUCUACAACAGUGUCUGCUAACCAGAAGCCCCUGAUGGAUUCCCCAUUGCCUAAAAUUCCUUUUUGCUUUUGACUAGCAUUUCAACCUUCUGGGGUCCCUAACUUCGUCCCAAAGUCAGCAGGAAGCAGUUUGGAAAGAAAUUUCGCCGUCCAUUUUCCCUGGUUGGAAUGCUAAGUCAAAAGGAACUCCCUUGCAUGGGGAUGCGAAACGAGAGGGGAUGCUCACUAGAAGCCUUCAUCCUCAUGGGACAAGAUUCAGGUAACCAGAGGAUGGCAAAAGGGCUCCACCGGUAUCACCUCUAUGCCUCUCCUUAUUUCCUUUACAUCGUAUUAGGGAAAUCAACCCGAUAUAAGAGGGAGCCAAUAUCCUUUACCGUGGCCCUAUUAUUAGGAGGGAUAACAGUGGGGGGCAUAGCAGCCGGCAUAGGGAAUUAAUCAUUUCAAACUUCUACAGCAAGCCAUGCACACAGAUAUCCAGGUCCUAAAAGAGUCAGUCAAUGCACUCGAGAAAUCCUUAACAUCACUCUCUGAGGUAGUCCUAUACAGACCAUACAGGAAUAGUUAGAGGCAGCAUGGCCAAGCUUAGAGAAAGACCUAACCAGAGACCUCUGAAUGGAAGAUUCCAUUCAGUUACAAGAGAAAUGGGGGAAUGAAAGACCCGCUCGAAAUGCCCCUGAGCCCCCUGCCCCGAAGCUGCCGGGGCCUCCCAAGCCUUCACCCCGGCAGGGCUCGCGCCCCCGGCCCACCCCGCCUGGCACCGCGCCUCGGGGCUGGGGCCGAGCAACGAGCACCAGAUGGGCAGGCCCGAGAACGAGCACCAGGUAGGCUGGGGCCGAGCAACGAGCACCAGGUGGGCCGGCACGAGGGCGAGCACCAGGUGGGCCGGCAUGAGAACGAACACCAAGGGAGCCGGCCUGGAGCCCUGCCCCUGAGCCCCGCCCAAUGAGAAACACUCCGUCCCAAGGUCUCCGCCCCCAAGGUCAGCCAUCUGGACGCGGAGGGAGGGGGAAUUGAGUCUGUUGUACCAGACACCAGACCUUGAGAAUAUGCUGAUCUGGAAUGGCUCUGUGUCUCAUUUGAACCAUCCAAUAGAAAUGAUUCUGUAUUUCGCCUCAUUUGAAAGACUCUGUGUUUCACCUCAUUUGAAUAACUCUG